CUUGGUCAUUUAGAGGAAGUAAAAGUCGUAACAAGGUUUCCGUAGGUGAACCUGCGGAAGGAUCAUUAAUGGGUUCAUGGCCUCCGGGCCGCAAUCCCCACCCUUCGCAACCGCGGCCACGAUUCGGCGCAAGGGCGGGACCCCCUCUGUUCGCGGAGGGGCCCCGUCCGCCGGAAUCACGCAACCCUGCCUGGAAAAUGCAGUCUGAGAAAAAUGAAAAAUUAGCGAAAACUUUCAACAACGGAUCUCUUGGUUCUGGCAACGAUGAAGAACGCAGCGAAAUGCGAUAAGUAAUGUGAAUUGCAGAAUUCAGUGAAUCAUCGAAUCUUUGAACGCACAUUGCGCCCCCUGGUAUUCCGGGGGGCACACCUGUUCGAGCGCCAUUUCAACCCUCGAGCCCUGCUCGGUGAUGGGCGACGCCUGGAUUCACCAGGCGCGCCCGAAACUCGUGGCGCCGUCGUCCGGCCCUGAGCGUAGCAAGAGAAAUCCCUCGCUCGGUGGACCGUCCGGCGGCCGCCCCGACCACUUUCACAAGGUUGGCCUCGGAUCAGGUGGGAAUACCCGCUGAACUUAAGCAUAUCAAUAAGCGGAGGA
This 594-nucleotide ribosomal RNA is filed under the name uncultured Venturia. Its description in RNAcentral is "eukaryotic LSU rRNA". The stretch from base 230 to 383 matches the Rfam family "5.8S ribosomal RNA". Lineage: Eukaryota; Fungi; Ascomycota; Dothideomycetes; Venturiales; Venturiaceae. The record is from RNAcentral.